CCUACGGGAGGCAGCAGUGAGGAAUAUUGGUCAAUGGGCGCGAGCCUGAACCAGCCAUGCAGCGUGCAGGAUGACUGCCCUAUGAGUUGUAAACUUCUUUUAUAAGGGGAUAAAGUGAGGCACGCGUGCCUUUUUGUAUGUACUUUAUGAAUAAGGAUCGGCUAACUCCGUGCCAGCAGCCGCGGUAAUACGGAGGAUCCAAGCGUUAUCCGGAUUUAUUGGGUUUAAAGGGAGCGUAGGUGGGUUGUUAAGUCAGUUGUGAAAUUUUGCGGCUCAACUGUAAAAUUGCAUUUGAUACUGGUAGCCUUGAGUACAGUUGAGGUAGGCGGAAUUCGUGGUGUAGCGGUGAAAUGCUUAGAGAUCACGAAGAACUCCGAUUGCGAAGGCAGCUUACUAAGCUGCCACUGACAUUGAUGCACGAAAGUGUGGGGAUCAAACAGGAUUAGAUACCCUGGUAGUC
This 460-nucleotide ribosomal RNA is filed under the name uncultured bacterium. Its description in RNAcentral is "partial 16S ribosomal RNA". It matches the Rfam family "Bacterial small subunit ribosomal RNA", at positions 338 to 795 of the family's 1533-position model. The record is from RNAcentral.